RNAcentral lists this ribosomal RNA (468 nucleotides) under uncultured bacterium. RNAcentral's name for it is "partial 16S ribosomal RNA". It matches the Rfam family "Bacterial small subunit ribosomal RNA", at positions 28 to 507 of the family's 1533-position model. The record is from RNAcentral.
GACGAACGCUGGCGGCGUGCUUAACACAUGCAAGUCGAACGGAAAGGCCCUGCUUUUGUGGGGUGCUCGAGUGGCGAACGGGUGAGUAACACGUGAGUAACCUGCCCUUGACUUUGGGAUAACUUCAGGAAACUGGGGCUAAUACCGGAUAGGAGCUCCUGCUGCAUGGUGGGGGUUGGAAAGUUUCGGCGGUUGGGGAUGGACUCGCGGCUUAUCAGCUUGUUGGUGGGGUAGUGGCUUACCAAGGCUUUGACGGGUAGCCGGCCUGAGAGGGUGACCGGCCACAUUGGGACUGAGAUACGGACCAGACUCCUACGGGAGGCAGCAGUGGGGAAUAUUGCACAAUGGGCGGAAGCCUGAUGCAGCAACGACGCGUGCGGGAUGACGGCCUUCGGGUUGUAAACCGCUUUCGCCUGUGACGAAGCGUGAGUGACGGUAAUGGGUAAAGAAGCACCGGCUAACUACGUG